CGAAAGCCUGACGGAGCAACGCCGCGUGAGGGAUGAAGGCCUCUGGGCUGUAAACCUCUUUUCUCAAGGAAGAAGAUCUGACGGUACUUGAGGAAUAAGCCACGGCUAAUUCCGUGCCAGCAGCCGCGGUAAUACGGGAGUGGCAAGCGUUAUCCGGAAUCAUUGGGCGUAAAGCGUCCGCAGGCGGCCUUGAAAGUCUGUCGUUAAAGCGUGGAGCUUAACUCCAUUUCAGCGAUGGAAACUACAAGGCUUGAGUGUGGUAGGGGCAGAGGGAAUUCCCGGUGUAGCGGUGAAAUGCGUAGAUAUCGGGAAGAACACCAGUGGCGAAGGCGCUCUGCUGGGCCACAACUGACGCUCAUGGACGAAAGCCAGGGGAGCG
RNAcentral lists this ribosomal RNA (379 nucleotides) under uncultured cyanobacterium. RNAcentral describes it as "bacterial SSU rRNA". It matches the Rfam family "Bacterial small subunit ribosomal RNA", at positions 376 to 770 of the family's 1533-position model. The record is from RNAcentral. Lineage: Bacteria; Bacillati; Cyanobacteriota.